Ribosomal RNA from Arabidopsis thaliana (thale cress), 119 nucleotides. The record is from Rfam. Lineage: Eukaryota; Viridiplantae; Streptophyta; Magnoliopsida; Brassicales; Brassicaceae.
AGAUGCGAUCAUACCAGCACUAAUGCACCGGAUCCCAUCAGAACUCCGCAGUUAAGUGUGCUUGGGCGAGAGUAGUACUAAGAUGGGUGACCUCGAAGAAUGUCCUCGUGUUGCAUCCC